GGCACGAUGGCAGAGUGGUUAUUGCGUAAGACUAGAAAUCUUAUUCCUUCGGGAGCGUAGGUUCAAGUCCUACUCGUGUCG
This 81-nucleotide transfer RNA is filed under the name Eutypa lata UCREL1. RNAcentral's name for it is "tRNA-Ser (AGA) (tRNA-Ser-AGA-1 1 to 4)". It matches the Rfam family "tRNA". Rfam says of the family: Transfer RNA (tRNA) molecules are approximately 80 nucleotides in length. Their secondary structure includes four short double-helical elements and three loops (D, anti-codon, and T loops). The record is from RNAcentral. Lineage: Eukaryota; Fungi; Ascomycota; Sordariomycetes; Xylariales; Diatrypaceae.